Molecule: long non-coding RNA, 1582 nt
Filed under: Populus tremula
Lineage: Eukaryota; Viridiplantae; Streptophyta; Magnoliopsida; Malpighiales; Salicaceae
Source: RNAcentral
GCAAUUAGGGUUUAGAACGAAUCCCUCAUUGUUCUCUCCGCCGUCUCUUCCACUCUCUUUAGUUAUCGCCACCGCUCCCUCCUCAGGUCUUUCUAUAUAACAUCUCAUUACUUCUUCUGAAUUUAUUUAUUUUUUUAUAAGUUUUCGGUCCAUGUAGAGUAUAUUUUCUUCUGCUAGCGCCCUUUUGCCUGUGAUGGUAUUAAAUAUACUCCGAGAUUUAAAUAUCUAUGAAAACAAUUUUAAUCUGAGGCAUUUAUUUAGGAUCUUUUCUUUUUGUUAGUUUAAUUAUUUUUUUUAAUUUAAUUUCUGCUGUUUUAAUUGUCUAUGGAUAAAAUGCAGGUGAUGAUAAAAUAGACAGGGACAUCAGCUACUCCUUUUUUAGGGAGGAUGAUGACUAAGUCUAAAAUGGGAAUCUCUCUGAUGCAUUUUUCAUAGAUUAAAAACUGUGAAUUUAGUGUUUUUUUCUGUAUAUAUAAUUGAAUUGGUUUUUGUGCAAAUGAUGAUAAAAUAGACAGGGACAUCAGCUACUCCUUUUUUAGGGAGGAUGAUGACCAAGUCUAAAAUGGGAAUCUCUCUGAUGCAUUUGUCAUAGAUUAAAAACUGUGAAUUUAGUGUUUUUUUUUCUGUACAUAUAAUUGAAUUGGUUUUUGUGCAAAUGAUGAUAAAACAGACAGGGACAUCAGCCACUCCAAUUGAAAUUGGAGAAUGUUGACUAUGUCUAAAUGGGAAUCUCUCUGAUGCAAAAAUCAUUUUUUUGGGGAUUAUUGUUUGAUUUUAGUGUUGGAGAACUGCUAUAGACAGCGGUGGUUAUCUAUGUUUCUGCAUUUGGGCUUGUUUAUGCAAAUCACUUAUGACCACAGCGUUCACGUGGCUAUGUCAUCUGCAUGGAUGGUUUCGAUGCAUGACCUUGGAUAGUUGCGGCUGUGUUUUGGAAAACAUCCUUUUGAAAACUGCUUUGUUUUAUUGAUUUGAUUUAUGUAGCUGUUCGUAAUGGUAUGUGGGAUGUCUUGCAUUCUAAACAGCCUUUUGUUUUGCAAAAUGGUAUCGCAACAGUUUCUGUAAAAUUUCUUUCUUUUUUCUUUCCUGGAUGAAUAGCAUGGAUGAAUGAUCUGCCAGUGAUGCAAUCAUAAUUCACGUAUUAUCAGAUAUGAAGAUGAUGAUGAUACAUGAUUGUCACUACCUCUGAGGCAAAGCUAUUAUCUUGCUCCCACAAUGCUUCUUGUGCUACUCUGUGGGAGAAUUUUCCCUCGAACAGUUUUUUUUUCUUUUUUUUUUUUUUAAAUUCCCUGAUUUUCUAAUGUUAAUGUUUUCCCUUGUGGUUUGGUCUCAUGCGUUGGACGUGUCUAGUAGUGUCAAGGCCUGAUGAUUAUAUUACAAGAACGGAGAUAUGAAUGGUGCCGGUUGUUGUAGCCUGAAUAUAUAUUAUUGGGCUCCGGCGGCACCUCAUGUAAAAAACUACUGUGGUUGAAAAUGAGGGCUUUUCCAACCUUUUGAGGCUGCCGAUUGAUUCCCAAAUAUGGGAUAGUACAAUCUUGAGACCACAUCGCUCUUGUUGAUUUUUAUAUUUAUUGCCAAAAACUUC